GUCUACGUGUCGGCUGCGAUGGGGGCAAUGUUGUGUGUUUGUAACUAAUAUUGCACUUGUCCCGGCCUAUGUGUGGAUG
Molecule: microRNA precursor, 79 nt
Filed under: Anopheles stephensi (Asian malaria mosquito)
Lineage: Eukaryota; Metazoa; Arthropoda; Insecta; Diptera; Culicidae
Description: mir-92 microRNA precursor family
Source: RNAcentral